GUGUGGGGAGGUGGACGUGGCAGGGGCAGCUCAACUCCAAACGGAGCGGACGUGACGUGGACAACGUGGUGCUGCGUGGGUAACGAGGAUGGGCGGCCCAACAGCAAUCGAGUGGACGUGGGCUGGCAGCACGGUGACAGACGGGGUGGAUGUGAUGUGGAAAACAAUGAUAAAGGGGGUGGAUAUGGCAUGGAAAACCCAGUGAUAAAUGGGGUGGAUGUGAUGUGGGACCCAGUGCCAAAUGGGUGGAGGUGGCAGGAAUAAGGCAGUGACAAAUGGGGUGGAAAUGGCAUGGAAAACCUAAUGCCAAAUGAGGUGGACAUGAUGUGGAACCCAAUGAUAAAUGGGGUGGAUAUGGCAUGGAAAACCCAAUGAUAAAUGGGGUGGACAUGGCAUGGAAACCCAAUGACAAAUGGGUGGAAAUGGUAGAAACAACCCAGUGCCAAAUGGGGUGGACAUGGCAGGAACAACCCAAUGCCAAAUGGGUGGACAUGGCAGGAACGACCCAGUGCCAAAUGGGUGGACAUGGUGUGGAACCCAAUGAUAAAUGGGGUGGAUGUGGCAGGAGCAACCUAGUGCCAAAUGGGGUGGAUAUGGCAUGGACAACACAGUGGGAAAUGGGGUGGACAUGAUGUGUAACCCAGUGCCAAAUGGGUGGACGUGGCAUGGAAAACCUAAUGCUAAAUGAGUGGACAUGGUGUGGCAACCUAAUUCCAAAUGGGUGGACAUGGUAGGAACAACCCAGUGCCAAAUGGGGUGGGCAUGGCGUGGAACCCAAUGAUAAAUGGGGUGGACAUGAUGGGGCAAUCCAUGACAAAUGGGGUGGAUGUGGUAGGAAUAACCCAAUGCCAAAUGGGGUGGACAUGAUGUGGAACCCAAUGAUAAAUGGGUGGACAUGGCAUGGAAAACACAAUGCCAAAUGGGUGGACAUGGUAGGAAUGACCCAAUAAUAAAUGGGGUGGACAUGAAUGGGGCAACCUGGUGCCAAAUGGGGUGGACAUGGUGUGGCAACGUAAUUCCAAAUGGGUGGACAUGGAUGGAAAACCCAGUGACAAAUGAGGUGGACAUGGCAGGAACAACACAAUGGGAAAUGGGGUGGACAUGGUGUGGAACCCAGUGCCAAAUGGGUGGACAUGGUAGGAACGACCCAAUGAUAAAUGGGGUGGACAUGAUGGGGCAACCCGGUGCCAAAUGAGACGGA
Tympanuchus pallidicinctus (lesser prairie-chicken) is the source of this 1201-nucleotide long non-coding RNA. RefSeq lists it as uncharacterized. Lineage: Eukaryota; Metazoa; Chordata; Aves; Galliformes; Phasianidae. The transcript has 5 exons. The record is from RefSeq and is a predicted model, not a curated record.